GCAUAUCAAUAAGCGGAGGAAAAAGAAACCAACAGGGGAUUGCCCUAGUAACGGCGAGUGAAGCGGCAACAGCUCAAAUUUGAAAUCUGGCUUCGGCCCGAGUUGUAAUUUGCAGAGGAAGCUUUAGGCGCGGCACCUUCUGAGUCCCCUGGAACGGGGCGCCAUAGAGGGUGAGAGCCCCGUAUAGUUGGAUGCCUAGCCUGUGUAAAGCUCCUUCGACGAGUCGAGUAGUUUGGGAAUGCUGCUCAAAAUGGGAGGUAAAUUUCUUCUAAAGCUAAAUACCGGCCAGAGACCGAUAGCGCACAAGUAGAGUGAUCGAAAGAUGAAAAGCACUUUGAAAAGAGGGUUAAAUAGCACGUGAAAUUGUUGAAAGGGAAGCGCUUGUGACCAGACUUGCGCCGGGCUGAUCAUCCGGUGUUCUCACCGGUGCACUCUGCCCGGCUCAGGCCAGCAUCGGUUCUCGCGGGGGGAUAAAGGCCCCGGGAAUGUAGCUCCCACGGGAGUGUUAUAGCCCGGGGCGUAAUGCCCUCGCGGGGACCGAGGUUCGCGCAUCUGCAAGGAUGCUGGCGUAAUGGUCAUCAGCGACCCGUCUUGAAACACGGACCAAGGAGUCAAGGUUUUGCGCGAGUGUUUGGGUGUAAAACCCGCACGCGUAAUGAAAGUGAACGUAGGUGAGAGCUUCGGCGCAUCAUCGACCGAUCCUGAUGUAUUCGGAUGGAUUUGAGUAAGAGCGUUAAGCCUUGGACCCGAAAGAUGGUGAACUAUGCUUGGAUAGGGUGAAGCCAGAGGAAACUCUGGUGGAGGCUCGCAGCGGUUCUGACGUGCAAAUCGAUCGUCAAAUCUGAGCAUGGGGGGCGAAAGACUAAUCGAACCAUCUAGUAGCUGGUUACCGCCGAAG
Molecule: ribosomal RNA, 898 nt
Filed under: Myceliophthora lutea
Lineage: Eukaryota; Fungi; Ascomycota; Sordariomycetes; Sordariales; Chaetomiaceae
Description: LSU rRNA
Rfam family: Eukaryotic large subunit ribosomal RNA
Source: RNAcentral